Molecule: transfer RNA, 72 nt
Filed under: Gluconobacter oxydans 621H
Lineage: Bacteria; Pseudomonadati; Pseudomonadota; Alphaproteobacteria; Acetobacterales; Acetobacteraceae
Description: tRNA-Val (CAC) (tRNA-Val-CAC-2-1)
Source: RNAcentral
GUUGCUUAUAGGCAUAUUUAGUCUGCCUUCACACGGCAGGGGUCACAGGUUCAAUCCCUGUCGCGCCCACCA